AUGGGCCAUUGUGCCCAGUUCAGAGAAGCCUUUUCAGAGGGGAUGGUCAGGAGCUCCUCUUUGAGCAGUUUCAGGACUAGCAAUAAUUCGAAGGAGCUGGAAAAAAAUAUUCACAGUCCCCGGAAAUCUAGCGACGCGAUGAGGAUUCUUUCCUUUGGCUCUUCAAACCGAAGUCAACAGAAAAAGGUGGGGGUGGGGGGGCGUGUUUUUUGUGGUUCUAUCUUAAAAGAAAGAAUAAACACACACUUUCUUCCAUCCUCCUUUCCUUUUACCUGGUUUGGCUGAGCCUGAGAGCAAAGGUUCCAUUUGGGUUCAUUCCUUUCUUUGUGGGGCAGACGUCCUACAGCCUAGUUUUGGUGACGCAAUCUUGGAAGAGUGAAUCCUGUCCACCCACUGGCUGCUGGCCAUGGGAAUGUUAGCAAUUGCGGGUCAGGGCAGGUCAGAUCUCCUAAACAAAGGUCUGUAGGCAUCAGCAUACGCAGGGAGUACCAGGCAAAUCUGUCCCUCAUUCAUUGUGUGAUCUUGGGCAAGUUUAUCUGUAAAAUGGGAGUGGCUGGGUGCAGGGCUCACGCGUGUAAUCCCAGCACUUUGGGAAGCCGAGGCUGGCGGAUCGCCUAGGUCAGGAGUUGGAGACCAGCCUGACCAAUGUGGUGAAACCCUGUCUCUAAAAAAAAAAAAUAGCCAGGUGUGGUGGCAGGGGCCUGCAAUCCCAGCUACUCAGGAGGCUGAGGAAGGAGAAUCACUUGAACCCAGGUGGCGGAGUUUGCAGUGAGCUGAGAUCGUGCCACUGCACUCCAGCCUUGGGGACAGGAUAGGGUGUGGGCUGAGCUAAAAUCAUAGCCAUUGCUCUCUCCAGCUUUUAAAUUCUGGUGGAUCAACAAAAAUGAAACUUCCGAGCACCCUUAAUUGGCAGAGCUGAGGACGCAACAGCAGGAGUAGCUGUAGAGGGUGUGGCCUGGGUGGACUUCCUGCACUCCCAAGGGAUUUCAGAACAACAGCUAGCAGGAAAAGUGGGGUCAGCGAGGGGAGGAUGGACAGAGGGGGAAAAGACUGGGCAUGAGCUUGCCUGGGAUCACACAGCUGGGUGGAGGAGGAGGAGGGCAUGGCUUUGUGGCUGUGUGAGUUCAGGCCUCUUUAAAGUGGGGUUAGGAGGGGCUGGCUUCUCUGUGUGAGUUCAGGCCUCUUUAAAGUGGGGUUAGGAGCUCUAAGUUCUUUCAUAGAGAAGUUCCAGAGCCAGCAGCUUCCAUUUUGGCACUGCCAUUUCUGGGCAGCAUGUGAACCUGCAAGCCACUUAACCCUCCUGAGCUCCUGUUUCCUCUUGGAGGAGUGGAAUCAUGAUUCGCUCACGGGAAUGGGACUGUUUCCUGGGCUGAUGCCGGGGAGACUGUACAGCACACAAGGGGAGGCCGGGAUCGUUGUUGCCUUUCCCUUUCCUCAGUUAGAUAAAGCUGUGAAAGGCUUGGACACGGGCAAAGGGGAUGACUGGGUGUCCUUUGAGUGGAGCGCUGGGCAGUCAUCUGGUGGGGCUGGGGUCUGUCUUUGACUCGGUGAUUUACAAUCCCUGGAAAACUGAGAGAAAUGCCAACAAUUCCUGCUUAUUAAGCAUAAGUGCGGUGGCUCGUGCCUGUAAUCCCAGCACUUUGCAAGGCCAAGGUGGGCGGGUCGCUUGAGCUCAGGAGUCUGAGACCAGCCUGAGCAACAUGGCACAACCCCGUCUCUCUAAAAAGUACAAAAAUUAGCUGGGAGUGGUGCACACACCUGAAGUUGCAGUGAGCUGUGAUUGCGCCACUGUAUUCUAGCCUGGGCAACAGAGCCGAGACCCUGCAUCAGGAAAACAAAACAAAACUUAAAGAAACAUAAGUGAAUUUUGUCCUCUAAUGACACAACUGACUUGUAUUGCGGAUAACAGAUCAUUCCAGACGGUGUGUUUUCUCGACCUGCGGAUGUGAACCUGUUUCCUCUCCGUUGGCAUUCCUAGCUACCUGUACAUGUCUCUCCUUCAGAUUCUGCUGUGAAGUGCUUGUGGCAUCUCACUGGUUCCUUUAGUAAUUGGAGAGCUAAAUGAUACUUUGACAUAUUUUGUGUUGUAUGAGUCAUGACUUCACCUUUGAAAACGAUAUUUUAACGCCCACUUCCUUGAUGAUUCAGAAAUCAGUAAUUGAGAUCAGACUUUCACCAUCCAUUCCCCACUGCGGAUUCUAUAUUAAAUUCCAAGCCCUUCAUUCAUCCCCCAUCCCCAAUAAAGAAACAGUACACACACACGCACAACACACACGCAAGGGCACAUAACCCCCACAGGCCCAUAAAACUAGUGAUUUUUGUGAGGGGAGAGGCAUCGGGGUAUUUUGGUCUGAGUGGGGGAGGGACACCUGAGCUAUGAGGCAGUCUUCGGUCUUGGAGAACAAUUGCAGGGACCAAAUGAGACCGUACCUCAGGAGGGACCAAUACGGUGUUAGCAUUUGGAGUAAGUUUUACACCAAAUCCCAGCUCCAGCUCAAGUGAAAGGAUUGUACUGACCACGUCUUCCUGGGGCUCCCUCCCAGUGUCCUAUCCCCAACACUAAAAAGGGGGGCACCGAGCGCCAGCAGUAGGUAGUGCUGGGCUGGGUAAGGCUUUA
RNAcentral lists this long non-coding RNA (2617 nucleotides) under Callithrix jacchus (white-tufted-ear marmoset). RNAcentral's name for it is "lncRNA (ENSCJAG00000085479.1)". The record is from RNAcentral. Lineage: Eukaryota; Metazoa; Chordata; Mammalia; Primates; Cebidae.